RNAcentral lists this ribosomal RNA (255 nucleotides) under uncultured bacterium. RNAcentral describes it as "partial 16S ribosomal RNA". It matches the Rfam family "Bacterial small subunit ribosomal RNA", at positions 524 to 778 of the family's 1533-position model. The record is from RNAcentral.
UACGUAGGUGGCAAGCGUUGUCCGGAAUUAUUGGGCGUAAAGCGCGCGCAGGCGGCCUCUUAAGUCUGAUGUGAAAGCCCCCGGCUCAACCGGGGAGGGCCAUUGGAAACUGGGAGGCUUGAGUAUAGGAGAGAAGAGUGGAAUUCCACGUGUAGCGGUGGAAAUGCGUAGAGAUGUGGAGGAACACCAGUGGCGAAGGCGACUCUUUGGCCUAUAACUGACGCUGAGGCGCGAAAGCGUGGGAGCAAACAGGAU